Molecule: ribosomal RNA, 274 nt
Filed under: Methanosarcina sp.
Lineage: Archaea; Methanobacteriati; Methanobacteriota; Methanomicrobia; Methanosarcinales; Methanosarcinaceae
Description: partial 16S ribosomal RNA
Rfam family: Archaeal small subunit ribosomal RNA
Source: RNAcentral
UGAUUAGAUACCCGUGUAGUCCCAGCCGUAAACGAUGCUCGCUAGGUGUCAGGCAUGGCGCGACCGUGUCUGGUGCCGCAGGGAAGCCGUGAAGCGAGCCACCUGGGAAGUACGGCCGCAAGGCUGAAACUUAAAGGAAUUGGCGGGGGGGCACAACAACGGGUGGAGCCUGCGGUUUAAUUGGACUCAACGCCGGACAACUCACCGGGGACGACAGCAAUAUGUAGGCCAGGCUGAAGACCUUGCCUGAAUCGCUGAGAGGAGGUGCAUGGCA